GACGAACGCUGGCGGCGUGCUUAACACAUGCAAGUCGAACGCUGAAGCCCCAGCUUGCUGGGGUGGAUGAGUGGCGAACGGGUGAGUAACACGUGAGUAACCUGCCCAUCACUCUGGGAGAAGAGCUGGAAACGGCGUCUAAUACUGGAUACGAGCAGCGACCGCAUUGUCAGCGGCUGGAAAGACUGGUUCGGUGAUGGAUGGACUCGCGGACUAUCAGCUUGUUGGUGAGGUAAUGGCUCACCAAGGCGACGACGGGUAGCCGGCCUGAGAGGGUGACCGGCCACACUGGGACUGAGACACGGCCCAGACUCCUACGGGAGGCAGCAGUGGGGAAUAUUGCACAAUGGGCGCAAGCCUGAUGCAGCAACGCCGCGUGAGGGAUGACGGCCUUCGGGUUGUAAACCUCUUUUAGUAGGGAAGAAGCCUUCGGGUGACGGUACCUGCAGAAAAAGCACCGGCUAACUACGUGCCAGCAGCCGCCGUAA
This 488-nucleotide ribosomal RNA is filed under the name uncultured bacterium. Its description in RNAcentral is "partial 16S ribosomal RNA". It matches the Rfam family "Bacterial small subunit ribosomal RNA", at positions 28 to 523 of the family's 1533-position model. The record is from RNAcentral.